UCCCAUGUGGCUCAGUUGGUAGAGCAUGGCGCUUGCAACUUCAGAGUGGUGGGUUCGAUUCCCAUGGGGA
This 70-nucleotide transfer RNA is filed under the name Oncorhynchus mykiss (rainbow trout). It matches the Rfam family "tRNA". From Rfam's summary of the family: Transfer RNA (tRNA) molecules are approximately 80 nucleotides in length. Their secondary structure includes four short double-helical elements and three loops (D, anti-codon, and T loops). Further hydrogen bonds mediate the characteristic L-shaped molecular structure. tRNAs have two regions of fundamental functional importance: the anti-codon, which is responsible for specific mRNA codon recognition, and the 3' end, to which the tRNAs corresponding amino acid is attached (by aminoacyl-tRNA synthetases). tRNAs cope with the degeneracy of the genetic code in two manners: having more than one tRNA (with a specific anti-codon) for a particular amino acid; and 'wobble' base-pairing, i.e. permitting non-standard base-pairing at the 3rd anti-codon position. The record is from Rfam by way of RNAcentral. Lineage: Eukaryota; Metazoa; Chordata; Actinopteri; Salmoniformes; Salmonidae. RNAcentral also lists the same sequence under 2 other names.